Molecule: long non-coding RNA, 3627 nt
Organism: Sorghum bicolor (sorghum)
Lineage: Eukaryota; Viridiplantae; Streptophyta; Magnoliopsida; Poales; Poaceae
Exons: 5
Source: RefSeq, a predicted model, not a curated record
CGCCAUCGGCUGCUUCCGGUCUUUCCUCGGCCCCUUCGCCUUCCUUCUUCUCAGUUCCGCACGAAGUCUGCUCCAGUUCUGUCCUUGCUCUUGUCAUUCCUUUCCUCGGCGCCUCCGCUCUGCGUGCCCCAUCUUCCUCUGCUCUGUCUUGGCACGGCACACCACCUUCAGCUGCCGCGUCGUCCGCUGCUUCCUUGUCCUGUACCUCAUCGUCCUUUGCGAGCGUUCUCUUCUUUCCUCCCGAUGCCGCAACAGCCGGCGCGGCUGGCUCCUCCUGCUACGUGUGGUCGGCCCGAGGCGACGCUCCGGCACCUCCGCCGCUCCUUCCCCCACCCUCACGUGCUCUCCCUUUCUCUCUCCCGACAACCGCGCCCGUGUCUGCUCCGAGCAAACCCUAAGUGCCACUCUUCAUCUCUCCCCCCUCUCUCAGGCCCAACAUGGGCAGUGCGGCGGCACGGCCUACCUCUCGCUCUCCCCAGUGCGCGUGACAGCCAGAUGGCCAGCGGCACGCGACCGGUGGCCGCCCCUUGCCACGACGGCGCACCAACGUGGCCACGGCCCUGGGCCGCACCCACGGUGGGCUCAGAUCUGUCGCCGGCGAUCCCCCGUGUGCGUUGUCACGAUGCCUAUGAGGAUUACCUUGUGGUCAAUGCAUCCAUGUGCAGCGCUAUGCCCAGCCAAUUGCAAGCUCCAUGGCUAAAUUAAGGCCACCUGAAGGAGCUCGUAGAUGCAUGUAAUGAAGGCCACAAUACAAAGGAGAUUUUGCAGGUGCACUAAAGUCAACACGUGUUGGUGACCCUUCUCACUUAGUUCAGACAGCCAAACUUGCGAAUGCCUGCAUUGUAAGUGGAAUUUUCUUUUCUUCUUUAUGUGUUUCAUGAUUUAUUGUGGUGCUCUUAAAUUGACGGCAUACAUAAAUAUUUCCUAAUAUUUUUAGAGCAUUUUUACCAUCCCACAAAAUCCUAAACUAUUAUUGUAUCACUAAUAGAGAGCAUAAAAUUUCAGUCAUGGCAAGAAUAAAAACACUUAGCCCAUUUUAGUACUUUCAUCUUGCUGAAAAUACUCUUUCUGUUGCCCACCUUUAUCUGCUAUAGCCCUGCAAUUGCCUAAUACAUCUGCAUUUUUUAGUGUUUUCAUCAUUGUCAAUAGAUUUCGGUUGGAACCAUUGUAUUUUUACAUGGUCAUGAUUCUACUGCUUUAAUACUUUUAUCUUGGUGGAAUUACUCUCUCUGCUUCACACCUUGGUGGUGCAACGUUUUUCUGCCAACCUGCAGGGUUCAAGUUGUUCAACUCCUUUUUGGAGGAUAUUGCUUGGUUGGAGAGUGUCAAGAGGGAGCUCCAGGACGUAGUUAGAUGCUAAUUGACCUUUUGCUAUUGGUAUUGUACUAUUGCUUCCUAAUUCCUUUUAAAAAUUGAUGCAGACUGUUCAGUAUCCUGUAGAGCAUCCGGACAAGUUUGAUAAGUUUGGCAUGUCUCCAUAAAAAGGAGUUCUGUUCUAUGGUCCUCGUGCUUGCAAAGACAAUUGUCAGUGAGUGCCAGGUUGUGUGUGCAUUGGGUGUUGGAUAACUUUAUGCCUUUGUUUUCCUAGUGGCCUAAAAGAUUGAGAUUGCUUACUGCUGCACCUGCAUCAUGCUAAGUAUGUCUCUGAUCAUGCAGUUCCGGAUACUAAUACAAUAUAUUUUUUGAGAAAUUUUCAAAUUGGCAGGAUAUAGGUAUUGAGGCCAUUGGGGACCUUUAGGUAACACAAUCAAAGCAAUGAGGCAAAAAUAUGUCGCUUACCUCUCUACACACAAAACAUACAGACAGAAAGCUAAAUAUGAUGCCAGUAAAAUGAUUGACACACAUGGCCUUCAACCUUUUAGUACAAAUUUUCCUGUGUGUGGUCAAAUUUACACAAUUCCUGGGAACAUUCCAUGACUUUUAGGAUUUUUUUUACACAAGAAUUCCUAAAUCACUAUUAUUUUCAUAGAGAAGUGUUUUAGAAAAUUAGUUUCCAUACGAGUCUACUUGCUGCUCUGUACACACAACCAUUUAACUUGCUGCUCCAAAUGUGCUAUCCAAACAUAGCAACCAAUAUUUUUUACAAUUAAUUUUGCCUACAAUGAAAAAUAGUAUGUGCUGCUUUCGGUAAGCGCCGAUCAUAGUACUCAGAUGAUGCCUAGCCAUAUCAAACCAAAUUUGGACAUUCUCUCCUUUCAUGUUAGUUUCUAACAUAUACUUGCUUACUGGACUUUGCAUGUUUUCCUUUGAUGAAUAAGCAGCUGCUGCUGAUACAUAUAACAAUGAUGGUUUCUAAUCUUUAAGGUCAGCUUUAUUCCUAACCCCCUCCCCUUUAGAUUUAUAUUGUUACAUUGUUUUUUGUGAUUUCUAGAUUAGGUUUCAGGUUUUUACAUGUAUACCUUUAUAGUGCUCGAUUGCAUUACGGGUCUUCGGUAAGAGAACAUAUAGGGGAACUAUUUCAAUGAGGCGUUGUUAAUUAACAUGUAUAGUUAUAGCUGCUACCACGAAAAAAAUAACUCUUUGUUCCAAGAAAAAUCUCAGGAAGAUAUAUUUUAAUCAUGAAAUGUGGGACUCAUCCUUUGUUGUAUUAUAUGUACCUACUCAAUCCCAGAGUUCAGUGUAGAUAGACUUCAAGGUGGACAGACCGGAUUCUCAUGGCAGCAAGUUCAACAGAGAUAGUUUACCUCUGACCUUUCUACAACAACAUUAAGUCCACUACACCACAACACUGUCUCCUCUUCUGAAACUGUGAAGUUCCAUUUUAGAGAUCACUAGGAAAACAGGGUUGGAUUAACAGUACAGGUUCCUUUGCAUCUUUAAAUGCCUACGUCAUACAAACACAUUGAAGUUGUUGCGCAUGUUGUUAGCCUAAGCUAUAUUCUGAGAGGCAUCUUGGGGACUUGAGACAUCGACACCAUAACAACAGAGAUAAAAGCUGCUAUAAAUAUGUCAACAAUAGCAGUUGCAUGCUCCACAACAGCUGAAGCCAAGGGCACUCCCAAUGCAAGACUCUAUCAUAGAGUCCAAGACAAUUAAUUACAUAUUAUUUAUGAUAUUUUGCUGAUGUGGCACCAUAUUUAUUGAAGAAAGAGGUAGAAAAAAUAAGACUCCAAGUCUUAUUUAGACUCCAAGUCCACAUUGUUCGAGAUAAUAAAUAACUUUAGACUCCAUGAUAGAGUCUGCAUUGUGAGUGCCCUUAGAUGUUGGGUUGCUAGCAUUUAAAACUAUAGAGAUCAACACCUCCUAGCCCAGAAGCCCUAUCCACGUGAGCUUUAAUUACUACAGCCGUCUGAUGCCUUCGAUUAGUGGCCCGGAUUAGCCGCUUUCAGAAUUUAUUAGAAUCUGAUUCAGUUGUCGCUGACUGGAAUCGACCCGAUUCUUUUUGGCUGGGCCUGAUUCGGUUGUUGCUGACUACAGCUGCCAGAUUCCAGCGGAACCACACCGGACCCAUAGGCUGAUAAAUUUGGACAUUUUACUGUGAACAUCAGCUGGUCUGUUAGCUUUAGCCAGAAGCUCUGUAUCCAAAAUGUAUAGUAUACACCAGUAGUUCUCUAUUAGAGCAUUAGUGUUUAUACAAAUAGUGAAAACUCUGCUAAGACCUUGUGUAAUAUAAGACAUCUGAAACUC